This 5246-nucleotide long non-coding RNA is filed under the name Triticum aestivum (bread wheat). Its description in RNAcentral is "long non-coding RNA (TAES_LNC005787)". The record is from RNAcentral. Lineage: Eukaryota; Viridiplantae; Streptophyta; Magnoliopsida; Poales; Poaceae.
GUAAAAUACAUAUAAUAAGCAACACAGUAAAACUAGGGGUACACUGUAAAAAUUCAGAAGAAAGAAUAGGGGUACAGUGAAAAUUACCAUGAGAGAUUACAUAACUGAAUCAAUGUAAAUAAAUUGCAAAAAUCUGGGAAUAUACAUUGUAGCUACAAUGUAAACCAUCAUAAUUCUAGGGGAAAUUACACUUGAAUCAGGGGGCAUAGUCAGGAAUUACAUAGCAAAAUUACACAGUAAAACUACGGCACUGAAACUGCAUUAAUGAAUUACACUGAAACUGCAUAGUGAAUUACACAGUAAUUCUAUAGUAAAUUACACAGUAAAAAUACGGCAUGAUUUACACAGUAAUUCUACAUGGAAUUACCCUGGAACUACAUGAUGAAUUACACAAUAAUUCUAUAGUAAAUUACACUGAAACUACAUGAUGAAUUACACAGUAAAAAUGGGGCAAAAAUACACAGGACCUCGCUCAAUACUACCAUGCAAUUUUCAUAGUAAGUCUGAGGCAAAAAAUACUACUAAUUACAGAGUGAAAACAGGACCUCGCUCAAUACUACUGCAACAGAGACACUUCUCAUGAAAAGAAGAAAAUAAAAAUGCAAGAAACUACAUGAAGUACAGAGCUAAAAAGCAUGGAAAUCACACUGUAAAAAUGAGAGGUAAAUCAUCUAACAAAUGAUGUGUAAGACCUACAAAUUUACAGUACUGAAGCAUACAAAUUACAGUGUAAAUGUGCAGUAUAUUACAGUGUAAGCCCUACAUCAAACAGAGGUAAAAAUCCACUAUACUCAGUCCAAAAAAUACUAUGUAAAGAUACAACAUUUACAGUGCUGAAGCAUACAAAUUACAGUGUAAAUCUGUGGUAUAUUACAGUGUAAGCCCUACAGCAAUUCAGAGGUAAAUCAACAUCUGAUUACAGUUCUGAAGCAUAUAAAUUGCAGUGUUAAUCUGGGGUAGAUACAGUGAUGAAGCAUAGAAAUUACACUGUAAUUCUGGGGUAUACUAUAGUUGGUAAAUUACAGUGCAAUAUUAGGCAUAUUAUAGUGAAAAUUGUCCUAUAUUGUAGUGUAAAUCGCAGUUAAAUUCCAUAGUAAUUCAUGGAAAAUAAGAUGCAUGUCAAUUAACAUAAACAGAAACAUUUCAAUGGCAUUAGACUACUACUGGGAUGAUCUACUGGAAUAAAUAGAAACUAGAUUUGCAAUUUGCACACUAAAACUAUGUGGAUUACAAAGUAAGACUCAUGCAAAAAUACACAGUAAUUCUAAUGUAUGACACUAAAACUGUGGGCAUACACAUCAACACCCGGCACAAGGAAAAGAUACAAAACCUGCAUCACACACACACAGUUACCAUGGCAUUAAGAAGAAGGAACCUAAGUACAUCUAAACCAACACUAAGAGCGAUUAUCCACUCACAUGACAAAAGGGACCUACAACAGAGGGCAUAAUAGGAUCUAGAAACCAACACGGACAAAGGAGGCAACACCCAUCUACCAGCGAAAAAACAAAUCACCUACCAACGCAAAUCACAAACCCAAAACCACAAAAAAUCCCAUCUCAAAACCCUAUAACUGAUCCAUACAUUUAUCUGAAUCACAGAAACUGAACACGUUGAACCUACCACAAGCAGACGAGGAACAAAAAUGCGGACAUCACGAAGUGGAUGAAUAACGACAGCGGGAGAACGCGUACCGAAAUGAACCACUAAAACUACAAGCACCUACCAUGAAUCUACAACAACACGGCCCCGGAUCACAACACGCACCUACCACGAACCCUAACAAAAUCACAUCAGCAACUGACCCCUAGAUCUCGAAGCUACACACCGAGAAAUGAACAAAAUCACGCGCUCGAGAGAGAAAUUGGGAGACCAACCAACCGCAGGAGGCGAGAAUCAAAGGGAAAUGAGAGAGAAAUCAAGCUCCACGGGUGGGGGAUCUGGGAAUCGACAUGAACAGAAAGGAAUUGCCUCCAUCGCCCGAGCGCCUAUUCCUCCCUUUGCCUCGCUAUCUCCUCUCUCCCUUAUCGCUACAGUACCUCUAAAAUGAAAGGGGAAAACCACACCCAAAAUUCAAAAAGGACAUAAACCGAAAGAGGCAGAGAGGAGGGGCGCGGAGAGGUAACGGGCUGGGACAAAAAAACCAGACCCGACAGAAAAAACAAGCCCGAAGACCAGACAACCCAGAACGAAUCUCCACGCGACAACGAACGGACAGCGAUUUGAAUGUUGAUGAAUUGAAUAAUAGUCGACUGUUAAAUAGCAAAUUCAUAUAUAUAUAUAUAUAGACACACACACAUAUAUAAAUUUAUCAUUGGCACAUUGCUCCGUUCUCAGUAAGUCUCAUCCGAACCGAUCUUUCAUACUCUUUCAACAAUAAGUACGGCCUUAACGGCUGCUCUGCAGAUACACCUCGGCAUACCCUGCCAGGGGCUCGGCAUUGGAACGAAUGAGCUGCCAGUAAAAGUCCGAACAACUCUAUAGCGUACUUCGGCAUCGCAAGUUUGGCCUUAUAUGCAUCAGCACUGAAUCAUUGUCUUGGGUCAAUAGUUGGGUUGCCCGGCUCCUACGUUUGCUACCCUAUGUUCCGCCCUAUCGGCUAGGGUAGUAAAGGGAGAACUACUGCGAUUGUGCCCUAGCCUAGACCGGAUGAGCACCUCAGUAGAAAAAGCCGAAAACUGACUGUCAUGAUGCGGUGAGAGCUGGUCAACCACUUGACGACUUAUUGGAAUCCUUAGCGAUUCUCCGUGUAACACGAAGGAUAUUUUUCAGAUCAGAUAUGCAAGGCACCACAUGCUGCAUACACACCAGGGGCUAUGUCGUAGCCCCACCAUAAAACUCCUAUGGUUAAGUGAAAGUGUUAACGCCUUAUAGUCCGAUUGCCUGGUUCGCCGCAUUAUCACCUCCUUCAUGGACCAAGACGUUGGAUAAAGAGUGAUUAAAUGCUUUUCCGAACACCCCCGUACUUCCUACUGGGGGGCUGAAGCCGACGACUGGAAAACUUUCAGAUUAUAUUAAAACAACCGCACAGGAGGAAUUCAAGCUUUCGAGCAAUACAUAAAUAUAUUAACUAUAAAGUUGUUUUUUACAAUCAUCAUACACCUCACUCGAACAUUAUGUUUUUCGAACAUUGACCCUCUAUCAAGCGGGUGGCCUCCAGGACGUCUUCAAAAUAACUCUCCAGUUCCGAACGGUCCCUGCCUCCAGGCGGACCCUUCAUGGUGACGUCAACGGCCUUCAUAUUUCCCCAAAAUGUCUUGACUCGGGCAAGGGCCAUCCGUGCACCUUCAAUGCAUGCCGAUCGCUUCGCAUCAUCGAUUUGACAAGCUUCUGCACCAAACCGAAAUAACUACUCGGCGCAGGCUCGGUUGGCCACAGCCGGAUUAUAACAUCCUUCAUGGCAGCGCCAGAUACCCUAUGAAGUUCGGCCCAUUGGGACAUUUGCUCUUUGAGUAGCAGCGGGCGCUUCGACGCACCGAACUACGACCAAAAAAGUUUAUCUGUUGCAUAUCCAGCUCACGCUUGGUAAGACCGUGCUGCAUCGGAAGAACUCUUCGGCAAGUCCAAAUACUCGUCCGGAGAACUCCACACUUGGUUCAGCUGAGCAUAGUCCGGGUCACCGAACUUAGUCUGCAGCAGAAAAGGCUUUGCAGCCACUAUCUCUUUCGCCUACCGAAUAUCCUCACGGAGUGCUCUGGACUCUGAUCGCGCUUCUUUCACCUCCUGUCAGGCCUUGUCCAGUUCAUCCGUUAAGGCUUUAUUCUCCUUCUCAAGAAAUUUGCAGCGGCCAGCAGCGUUCUCCAAAGCGAGUGUCAUCGUGGAUACCUUCUCCUCGCCCUGGCGUCGUGUAGCUUGUUCGGCCUUCAGUUCAACCGAUGCCUCUUUAGCAGCAGCAUCACUAAGCCGGGCCCGCUCCUUGGCCCAGACUAGCUCCGCCCGAAGAGCCUCCACGGUGGCAGCACCAUCUGCAUUUUAUGCGCAUUUAAUAUAAAGCACUUUCCCGCGUCAAGCACACUGAUGUAAAGAAUGCUCGAAACACAUACCUUGCUAGUCGUCAAGACGCCUGUUGAUCAAUGCAAUGUCAUCCUUCGCAAUAUCCAGCUUUUGCUGUAGUUCGGCCACUUCCGUAUUCCGGGCAGCCACAGGAGGGGCAGCAGCCUAUAUUUCAAAUUAAACCAAGGUUAAUACCUGAGCAUAUCUCUUUGAUCCUCCGAUCGCUUCCUUCGGAAGCCAAUCAGAGUCUUAGGGGCUACUGCAUAUACGAUAGGCGCAUUCUGAUUCAAUUGACAAAACUACAUCACAAACCUCAAAACCUCUCAGAAGGCCCGUGAAGGCCUCGUCCAAUCCACUCUUUGCGGAUAGAACCCUUUUGACCACCGUAGCCAUGAAGGUACGGUGCUCUUCUGAAAUAGAUGCCCAUCGUAGCAAGCCCGUCAGCAUGUCCGGCGCUUCUUGGUCUUCGGAAACCGCCACCGGAGUACGACGUUCCUGUGAGGGAACCCGCUUACUUGCCUCUAGAAUCGUCACCGGCUGUAAACCGUACGGUUCGGAGACGCCAGUCUUGAUCCUGGAACCCUGAGUGACAGAGGCACCGCCUUCGGGUAACACCUCCUUCGCUUCCUGUACUACUUGGUGUUCGGGAGGAGCCCAUCGGGAUGAUACCUCGGUAUCAUCUCCCCUGUUGGGCGAUGCUACCUCUUGAGCACUGCGUUGGAUUUCCCCGAAGAGGAGAGGAUGAUGCAGCAAAGUAGCGUAAGUAUUUCCCUUAGUUUUUGAGAACCGAGGUAUCAAUCCAGUAGGAGGCUACGCGCGAGUCCCUCGUACCUACACAAAAACAACAGCUCAACGCAACCAACGCGCUUAGGGGUUGUCAAUCCCUUCACGGUCACUUACGAAAGUGAGAUCUGGUAGAGAUGAUAAAUAAUAUUUUUGGUAUAGAGAUGCAAAGUAAAAGGUAAAAGCAAAGCAAUAAUAAAGUGAUGGAGAUUGAUAUGAUGAGAAAGAGACCCGGGGCCAUAGGUUUCACUAGGGGCUUCUCUCAAGAGCAUAAGUAUUCUAUGGUGGGUGAACAAAUUACUGUUGAGCAAUUGACAGAAUUGAGCAUAGUUAUGAGAAUAUCUAGGUAUGAUCAUGUAUAUAGGAAUCACGUCCAAGACAAGUAGACCGACUCCUGCCUGCAUCUACUACUAUUACUCCACUCAUUGACCGCUAUCCAGCAUGCAUCAAGAGUAUUAAGUUAAAAACAG